UACGGAGGGCGCGAGCGUUGUCCGGAAUCACUGGGCGUAAAGGGCGCGUAGGCGGCCACCGCAAGUCGACUGUGAAAUCUCCGGGCUUAACCCGGAAAGGUCAGCCGAUACUGCGGGGCUAGAGUGCGGAAGGGGCAACUGGAAUUCUCGGUGUAGCGGUGAAAUGCGUAGAUAUCGAGAGGAACACCUGCGGCGAAGGCGGGUUGCUGGGCUGACACUGACGCUGAUGUGCGAAAGCUAGGGGAGCAAACAGG
RNAcentral lists this ribosomal RNA (254 nucleotides) under uncultured bacterium. RNAcentral's name for it is "partial 16S ribosomal RNA". It matches the Rfam family "Bacterial small subunit ribosomal RNA", at positions 524 to 776 of the family's 1533-position model. The record is from RNAcentral.